Cucurbita pepo subsp. pepo (vegetable marrow) is the source of this 492-nucleotide long non-coding RNA. RefSeq lists it as uncharacterized. Lineage: Eukaryota; Viridiplantae; Streptophyta; Magnoliopsida; Cucurbitales; Cucurbitaceae. The record is from RefSeq and is a predicted model, not a curated record.
UCUUCGUCUUCAUCCAUGGAGAAGCUGAAGUCGGCGAUCGGAAUCGCCUACGGAAGGGACCACGCUAAGCUCUCUCUCUCUCCUUCCUCUACUUGGCGUCUUCUCUCUACAAGCUCCGUCUGUCCCUUCGUCGCCACUUCUACCUCUACGGCGUAUUUUGCAAGCACUGAUAGGAGCAUAUCAGGUUGAUCGACUUGACUCGACUUCUUCAGUGACCAUCACGAUAGGAGCAUAUCAGUGACCAUCACGAUAGGAGCAUAUCAUGUUGAUCGACUCCACUCAACUUGACUUCUUCAGUGACCAUCAUGAUAGGAACAUAUCAUGUUGAUCGACUCGACUUCAGGGACCAUCACGUGCAUCAAGACAGGGUAACUAUUCUUCUGCUCCGAGUCUGUAAGAUCAUGUCACCUCCACAAACAUCCCGUACUACUACCAAUGCACUUGUUUAGAAUUUUUUAAAAUUACUUAUUUGUCCUCGUUAUGAUAUCAAAU